GGACAACAGGAGGAGAAACAGGAACAAGAUCAAGGACUAUCACAGUCUCUGGUGUCAUCAUUGGAUGCUCCUCAGUAAGCAGCCAAGGCUGCUCCUAGGUCUCUGUCUGUUCAAAGAUCAGGUUCUCAGCUCUUUACUUCUCUUCAUCUGGCUUGCAACAGCAAUAAAUAACAUGGACAGGAGGAAAGAAAUUUGCCUGUACUGAUGCAAGUUCAUUUUUAAUUCAAGUAAAUGACCUAGCUGCAAUCAGUGUAUUCAGAGAGGAUUCAUAAACAAAAUUUUAAGAUCAUCACAGCCUAGGGGGGCACUGAUGUUUUAGCAACCCUCCAAUUUUACAAAGUGGCAACAACAAGCAUGGCUAUAAAUACUAUUAUGUGACUUUAUCAUGGCUAAUUAAACGUAUUAAGCACAGGUACAGUGUACAGGUACAAUUAGCCUAAAAAAGGCUAAUUUAGCUAGCUUCCACCGUAUAUUUUCCGGCAAAAAAAAAAAAAAUGUUACAAACGUGUCUUCAGUCAUUCGCAUCACAGUCCUACUGCCAUUAAGUCCUAAAACUACCAUCAGUAACUUUAUAACGUAACACUUUGGAGUUAUUUUUUGUUUUAGAGUACAAAAACAUUUAUGACAGGUGCAGGUUUCUACUCACCGGAGUGUAAGUGUCGCAUAGGAUGACAUCAUCGUAUUCUUCUUGGGUUUUUGUGGGGUCCGUCCUUAUUUUUAUUAUUUCAAUCAAAAAUAUUAAACGUUUACAGAACAGUUUGCAUGCAAUCACAAAAGAAAAUGCAUCUUAAAUUUUCUUAAAUUUAUUUGAUGUAAAUCAUUUAUAUCAUACACAAAAAUAGUUGGUAAAUUAAAAAAAAAAAGCUUUUAAAUCAAGCUAACAAAAACCACAAUGAAAACCCUCCGGUUUUAUAUUUUACUGAGUUAUUUUUAAAUACCGAAUUAAAGUCUUAUGACCGAUACGUCUGGCAUGUAUUUGCAGUAUAUAUUCUUAAUAUCCUGUUCAAACUAGCACAUAAAUUGAAAAUAAAGUUUUUUUUUUUUUUUUUUGUUUUUUUUGUUAAAUAGAAUAGACUCGUCAUCUUAUUCGUUCCUAGAUCGUCAGUAUCGGACGCUUAGGGAGCGGUACAGCAUUCAAUGAGAGAACCCUUCGCGUCACAUAUUGACGCGAAGAGGGUACCCUCGGCGUCAAUAUGUGACGCCGAGGGUACCUG
This is a long non-coding RNA of Poecilia latipinna (sailfin molly), 1214 nucleotides long. RefSeq lists it as uncharacterized. NCBI's taxonomy places the organism in Eukaryota, Metazoa, Chordata, Actinopteri, Cyprinodontiformes, Poeciliidae. The transcript is spliced from 2 exons. The record is from RefSeq and is a predicted model, not a curated record.